GUCUACGGCCAUGUCACCCUGAACAAGUCCAAUCUCCUCUAAUCUCAGAAGCUAAGCAGGGUCAGACCUGGUUAGUACUUGGAUGGGAGACCACCUAAGAAGACCAGGUGCUGUAGGUG
This 119-nucleotide ribosomal RNA is filed under the name Pteropus alecto (black flying fox). The record is from RNAcentral. Lineage: Eukaryota; Metazoa; Chordata; Mammalia; Chiroptera; Pteropodidae. RNAcentral also lists the same sequence under 1 other name.